Ostrea edulis (European flat oyster) is the source of this 2441-nucleotide long non-coding RNA. RefSeq lists it as uncharacterized. The transcript has 2 exons. The record is from RefSeq and is a predicted model, not a curated record. NCBI's taxonomy places the organism in Eukaryota, Metazoa, Mollusca, Bivalvia, Ostreida, Ostreidae.
CAUUAGAUCGUCUAUUGGGACACCGUUAAGAAAUAAUUCCUUUAAAUACAACAUCAGAAAGAAUGUACGUUUCAUUAAAAAGUUUACGCCCAAUUUAAUUUCAAGUGUCAGAACCUUUUCCCCCCAUAGAAAUAAGAGUUUUAAAAUGAGAUACAAAAAUGACUCUAAAAACGUCAAGAUGUUCAAUUUUGAUGCUGGAUAUCAUUUGAUGCAUGCCAAAUUUAUCUCUUAAUUAGAGGCGCCAUUAGCGGAGAAAUAGCUCGAUAAAGACGCUGCCACGGAGCGAGCUUUACGUAAAGUUAACGGCCGGUGGUAUAUGCAGCGAACUUGGCACGCACGGGCCUCGAGCGUAGAAAAUUAAUGGACGAGCGUUUUAUGCAUCAUUCAAUGUUAACUAGUCGUUAAGAAUUUAUAAAGCUAAUCCAGUCUAAUUUGCUUUGAAAUCUGUUUGAUAAAGCAUGGACUUUGCCAGGACUUGGCAUGCAUCUACUGUUAAUGAAGACAUGCUUCGACAUUUACAAGUCAUUAAAGGGCAUCUGACACGAUAUCGAAUGAUAGCGGUGAAGAACCCAAAAUCUACUUUGCAAUGCAAGCACAUCAGGUGAAGUAGAUUUUGACAAUUUUGUAAAAUUUGCAAGCUUUAUAUAAUACCUAAGUAUCUAAGAGUCCUGAAGUCAUCUUAUACCAUGUUUUUACAUGUAUCGUAGUCCCUAAAAAUGCAAAACAUAAUUAACAUCGCUUGGAUGCAUGUUGAUAGAUAUGGAACUGACGUGCACCAUCUGGUAUCGUAAUAAUGAAAUUGUUUAACGACAAAAGUUGAAGGUUAUAAGCAAAUCUCGGCUACAAAUCACAGAACGUCUAUAAUACACACAAUGUCUCUCCUCACAACACUCGGUGAACUUCUUCACGUUGCCGAUAUUACCGUGGGUGUAGUAAACAAAGUAUGGAAAAAGUCAUUUAUAACAGCAAAUUUGACAUCAAGUCAAAAUUGAAGCAUACUUUGUCCGUCUCCUCCAUUUGUAAUGAAAACCAUAUGUAAACCUCGAACCCGACCUAUCCACUAUGACCGCCGAAUCCUUCCACAGUUGAUUAUUUGAUGUCUGUGAAGUUUGCCUUUGUUCUCUAUAUAACGGAUUAAAUGAAACGAAACGGAACUAAUUCUGUUUGGCGAUUGAGGAUAAUGACAGGGGUUUUCUUUUUAUCUGCUUUCUAUGAACCCGAUUCUGAUCCAUUAGAGACUGGCUUGAAGAGGAACAAACAGCCCCAGUGGAUGUGAUACGCCUUAUCCAGCCUUAACUUUUCACCUUUUCUCAGAUCCAUCCCCCAAUUACAGAAUGAUUUGAUAAAACAACCCAAAAGAAUGAUUAUCAAAUAUCACGCCAGAUUAUAAGACGGAAAUGCAGUGAUCAAUUGUACACAAACUGAACGCAUCUCCUUGAAAUUGUGCAUUUUACAGAAGAAAUUCAGAACAAUUGCGUCCGGAAUGUAGAUAGAACAGACUCAUUGCGCAUUCCUCAGCAAGUUCAGAUAGCGCUCAAAUUUUUACGUAUCUUUCGUCAACUAUCAAAACAAAAUUUCGGUAUACAAUACAAGGGAUUAGCUGCAGAUGAUGAAAAUCCUUAAUUUUGUUUGAUAUCAGCUUUAAUAUGAGGUUUUCAGACACUGUAGGUUAUUAAGACAGGGUUUAUUAACAUUUUCUUUGACAUGAGACGCGGGACUGAAAGAUUAUGAGCAUGGAUCAAAAGCAAGUACCGAUGCCGUGGCGGAUCUAGAGGGAAUGGGAUUAUGGGGGGUUGGAUCCCUUUUGAUUGAAAAUUUUAAACAAAAAUUGGUAUUUUUGCUAUUUUGAAAUCUUCAACCUUCCCUUUUUUUGGGACGGAAAAGGUACAAACUUGGGUUGCACCCUCCCCUUUUAAAUUUUCUUGGAUCCGCCACAGUCGUGAAGACACACGAUCACGUGAGUGAUCUCGCAGCGUGCGUUCAUUCCAUCACUGUUUAUGACAUAGCUCCGUAAGCCAACAUAAAGAGAUGACUUUGAAAACAGUAAACGACAUGAAAAAGGUGAAGGUCCUCUGAAGUUCACAACGAACAAGAUGCAUGUCAAAGAAAAGUACAAAAACAAAUCUCGCGGUGCAGUACAUUGUGAACGGUGACCGAUUAAGCAGCGCAUCUUGACAAAUCAAAACUCCAUGCCAUCGUGUGUACAUUGAGUGCAUCUUGUAACGCGGUGCAGGUUCUGUACGGCCAAGAGUGCCGUGUAUGAAUUACAGGAAUUUCGACAUAUGGAUUUUGAUUCUCCACAAAAACGCCGACAUUUCUGACUUGACAUAAAAGCAGAGAAAGAAUUUGAAUUGCAAAAUGAACGGUAAAGAUUUUCAGUUUAACAUAAGCAGGGAUUUGGGAUGUUAGAUUUUUCUUAUAAUAAACAGGGACUUCGAAUA